AACUAUAUUCCAAACCACUAAAACACUAAGAAAUACUACAAUGCUUCCUCUCAAUAACAAUACUCCUUCAUCAACUGAUAACCACAAUGUGCAACCCUGCACUCUCAAAAGACCGCUCAAAACUCAAUAAAUUCCAUCCAAUACUAGGAAUAACAGAUUUUACUCCAACCAAUCUAAAUUCACAGAAUUCUUGUAAUCACAGACUUCUUCUGUCGAAACACACACACACACAACUGUCAAUAAACAAUAAUCAUAAUCUUCCAUCCAUAAUCAAUCUUUCAAUAACUUCUCAUAUAAUUCAAUCACUCAGUACUCCAAUUAUAUAAUCAAUAACUCAUAAAUCAAUCUCUGAUUUAUUCCACAGACUCACUUCUCAGUAUUCAGAAACUAUCCAUUAUUCUUCAACAACAAAGAAAACAAAAGAAACAAAGAAGAAGCACCAAGCUUAACCCCGGCUCAUGACUAUCACAGUUUGGCAUUUUCUUCCUCUCUCCCAUCCUCUUUAUACUAUCUCGAGAUACCAACUCCUAUACUAUGGAUGAUGACUACUUUUUUUGACUAUUUAUCCAUUCUAC
RNAcentral lists this long non-coding RNA (575 nucleotides) under Physcomitrium patens. Its description in RNAcentral is "long non-coding RNA (PPAT_LNC000490)". Lineage: Eukaryota; Viridiplantae; Streptophyta; Bryopsida; Funariales; Funariaceae. The record is from RNAcentral.